CAGCAGUGAGUUUAUUUGCCAGAAAUAUCAAAUGCUAACGAACAGCUUGCUGUAGUCCUGGCCUUGGCUUCCAUCAUUAACCUGAUUAGACCAGAAUUAUCUGCAAUGUUCUUGGAUGUUCUUUCACUGGUAUUAGAAGGUCGUUAAACAAUGGGCAUGUAUUUUGCAAGCUCCACUGGGAUUGCUUUUCAUUUCAAGCAGAGAGACUGAACAGCAGCAGACCUUUCAAGAGGUCUCAGAAGACCCUACUACAUUGUAUAUCUACAGUUAAGACAGAGAAUUGUGUUCAAAUGAAGAAAGUCCAAAAGACUGAGAAUGGCAUCACUGGAAAGGCCAUGGGGAAUACACCAGAGCUGGAUGCUCGAGAAGAGAAAGUGCUAAAGGUUGACUUCAAUGGGAAUGCUCCCUGGCGAAGGUGA
This 419-nucleotide long non-coding RNA is filed under the name Zonotrichia albicollis (white-throated sparrow). Its description in RNAcentral is "lncRNA (ENSZALG00000012350.1)". The record is from RNAcentral. Lineage: Eukaryota; Metazoa; Chordata; Aves; Passeriformes; Passerellidae.